UACGUAGGGCGCAAGCGUUGUCCGGAAUUAUUGGGCGUAAAGAGCUCGUAGGCGGCUUGGCACGUCGGCUGUGAAAGCCCGGGGCUUAACCCCGGGUCUGCAGUCGAUACGGGCUAGCUCGAGUGUGGUAGGGGAGAGCGGAAUUCCUGGUGUAGCGGUGAAAUGCGCAGAUAUCAGGAGGAACACCGGUGGCGAAGGCGGAUCUCUGGGCCAUUACUGACGCUGAGGAGCGAAAGCGUGGGGAGCGAACAGG
Molecule: ribosomal RNA, 253 nt
Filed under: uncultured bacterium
Lineage: Bacteria
Description: partial 16S ribosomal RNA
Rfam family: Bacterial small subunit ribosomal RNA
Source: RNAcentral